RNAcentral lists this microRNA precursor (78 nucleotides) under Schistosoma margrebowiei. Its description in RNAcentral is "mir-3492 microRNA precursor family". It matches the Rfam family "mir-3492 microRNA precursor family". Lineage: Eukaryota; Metazoa; Platyhelminthes; Trematoda; Strigeidida; Schistosomatidae. The record is from Rfam by way of RNAcentral.
AAUCUUCUGUAUCCGUGCUGAGGUUUCGUCACACACCAGAUCACAAGGACUGAUGAGACUUCUCAGAAAAGUGAAGCG